GCCGCGGUAGCUCAGUUGGCAGAGCGCCGGGCUGUUAAGCCCGGUUUGCUACAGAAACCCGGUGGUCGGAGGUUCGAGUCCUCCCCGCGGCGCCA
Molecule: transfer RNA, 95 nt
Filed under: Stygiolobus caldivivus
Lineage: Archaea; Thermoproteati; Thermoproteota; Thermoprotei; Sulfolobales; Sulfolobaceae
Description: Stygiolobus sp. KN-1 tRNA-Asn
Rfam family: tRNA
About the family: Transfer RNA (tRNA) molecules are approximately 80 nucleotides in length. Their secondary structure includes four short double-helical elements and three loops (D, anti-codon, and T loops).
Source: RNAcentral